RNAcentral lists this ribosomal RNA (234 nucleotides) under uncultured Eubacteriales bacterium. RNAcentral describes it as "uncultured Clostridiales bacterium partial 16S ribosomal RNA". It matches the Rfam family "Bacterial small subunit ribosomal RNA", at positions 99 to 334 of the family's 1533-position model. The record is from RNAcentral. Lineage: Bacteria; Bacillati; Bacillota; Clostridia; Eubacteriales.
CGAACGGGUGAGUAACGCGUGAGCAACCUGCCUAUGACAGUGGGAUAGCCUCGGGAAACCGGGAUUAAUACCGCAUAAAAUCGUAGAAACACAUGUUUUAACGGUCAAAGAUUUAUCGGUCAUAGAUGGGCUCGCGUCUGAUUAGCUAGUUGGUGAGAUAACAGCCACCAAGGCGACGAUCAGUAGCCGGUCUGAGAGGAUGAACGGCCACAUUGGAACUGAGACACGGUCCAA